Molecule: ribosomal RNA, 350 nt
Filed under: uncultured bacterium
Lineage: Bacteria
Description: bacterial SSU rRNA
Rfam family: Bacterial small subunit ribosomal RNA
Source: RNAcentral
AGAGUUUGAUCCUGGCUCAGAUUGAACGCUGGCGGCAUGCUUUACACAUGCAAGUCGAACGGCAGCACAGGGAGCUUGCGUCCCGGGUGGCGAGUGGCGCGACGGGUGAGUAAUACAUCGGAACGUGUCCUGUUGUGGGGGAGUAACUGCUCGAAAGGGUGGCUAAUACCGCAUGAGACCUGAGGGUGAAAGCGGGGGAUCGCAAGACCUCGCGCAAUUGGAGCGGCCGAUGCCCGAUUAGCUAGUUGGUGAGGUAAAGGCUCACCAAGGCGACGAUCGGUAGCUGGUCUGAGAGGACGACCAGCCACACUGGGACUGAGACACGGCCCAGACUCCUACGGGAGGCAGCA